Molecule: long non-coding RNA, 4726 nt
Organism: Mytilus californianus (California mussel)
Lineage: Eukaryota; Metazoa; Mollusca; Bivalvia; Mytilida; Mytilidae
Exons: 2
Source: RefSeq, a predicted model, not a curated record
ACCGGUGAUGCAUGGUGGUGUGUUUGUCAGUUUUGCUUGCACUGCUUCUCAUUCUCACACUUUAAUUCACAAGCCAAGGUUUUUUUCUUAAUUUAACAGCUUACAAAAGUAAGAAGAUUAAUAAUUUGUUGAGCUAUAUUUCAAUCACAAUUCUUAUCUAUGAUUCAUUUCUUUAAAGAGUUAUUUCCCUUCAUGAAAAAAAAAACCCAUUUUAAGCAUUUAAGAAAAAAAAGAAAUUAUGUACAGGCAUAGUGAUAUUGUUUGUUAUGCUAAAGUUAAUCAUUAGUAAAUACAGUUUUUACAAAUUAUCAGAUAAUUUAGAUAGAUGGCAGUAUUUGUUGAUGAAGGGAAAAAACUCGAACAAUCUAAAAAAUAUCUUGUUUCUCAUUGUAAUUUUUAAAGAUUUAAAAUUCACUUUUAAUUGUUGAAGAAUAGUUAUUGCAGUGUUAAACAUAAAUUUUGUGUGCGCUUAUUUCAAUUUAGAAAAGUUAAGAUACAAGCAAAUGAAAGUCAUAAUACACAAUAUUAAUAGAGUUCAAUUAUAUGUGAAAUCAUACCAUUCUCUAUAGAAAGUCAUUCAUCACUGCAAGAUAAACUCUGCUCCUUUUAUCCUUCAAAAAGUAGUUGGUCUUAAAUACACAUAAGCAAGAGGUGGGACAGGGUAGAUGGUUAAAACUUAGCUAGCACAGUUAUAUUUAUGAAAUAUACAUGCACUUUACCUCGUUCCAUAAUUGUAAUGGAGGUUGCAUUAUAGUCAACAAUAUAUCUUGGUGGUUGUUAAAUGUUGUACAAUAUAUCAUGUGUUAAGUUUUAUUAUUGAUGAUUUCCCAGUUAAAUAAAAACUGAUAAUUACACCUCUCUGACAUUAUUCAGCAAUGGGUGUUGUCAAGACAUUCUCAAUGACACUACUUCAAAACGAAAUGGAAAUACAUAGAAAAAGAUAUAGUUCAUUGUAUUCUAUUCUUUAUUUCCAUGAAAGUUCCGACAGUCAAUGUAGUGAAAAGAAUAAGUUAUCAAUGAAUUAAAGUAUUGAAAAAUAUUCAACUCGUUACUGAAUACCACUGACACACGCAUUCGUGAAUUAAACUAGGUGUUGUUCAGUCACUUGCUGAAUAUUUUUCUAUAUUUGAAUUCUACUAUUACCAUAAAUCGGGGUUUUAGUUUGUGUUUAAGAAUGGGCAUACUUUAGUUAGAUCUCUGAUUUCAUAAUUUAAAUUAGCUACUCAUACAUACCACAACUUUUGACAACACAGCAAUCAGUGACAUGAAAAAAUGUUAAUUUAUAGCUCAAUCUAUUAAUUGGUGUCAUAACACGAAUAUUUUACCUAUAAUGUGAAAAGAAAAUUAAAAUAAAUCACAUUUACACAGAUAUUUUUAUAUGCGUAAUGAUCAAAACCUUCAAUUUUAGCAUGCCCUAAUGCAUUUAUUUACCUUCCUUGAGAGUUCUCUGAACUAAGUGUAUUUUAGUUUGUAGUACUUAUAUUUAUUUGUAAUCGAUUACCUGUCAGUCAACCAAGUUUAUGUUGUUAAGAGUUUACAUCUAACAAUAAGAUACAGUUAUUUUUUCACGUUUAUUUUCACAUUCAACAUAAAUUAUACAUAGUGAAAAUUUAAACUGCCCAAUUUGUCAUCAAAUCGUGUAAAAAAGUGGACAUGAAAAAAACCCGAUAUAUGGUAGUUAUUCUAUAAUCAUAUAAUUUUGACCCAUUUGUCAGUCCUUCUGUCCAUUGAUAUUUUUUAUGCCCCUGUCAUAGCGGUGGGGGCAUAAAGUUUUACCCUUGUCGUCUGUACGUACGUCCCAUAAUUGGUUUCCGUUCUCUAACUUGAGUUUGCCACAACCAAAUGUUAUGAAACUUGUACACAAUGCUUAUUUCCAGAAAACACAGAUCAAGUUUGAAUUUUGGUGGUGUCACAUUAACCGUUCUAGAGUUAUGCCCCUUUAUAAAUGGAAAAAUUGCAAAAUUUUUAUUUUCUUCUAAAUAUUAAGUAAUUUUUAUACGACCGCAUAAAAAAUUUGAGGUCGUAUAUGGUAUGACGCUGGCGUCAUCGUCGUCGUCGUCCGAAGACACAUUGGUUUUCGCACUCUAACUUUAGUUUAAGUGAAGGGAUCUCUAUGAAAUUUUACCAUAAGGUUCAAUACCACAAAAGGAAGGUUGGGAUUGAUUUUGGGGGUUAUGGUACCAACAGUUAAGGAAUAAGGGGCCAAAAAUAAGCAUUUUUGUAACUUCCAGACAUAACUUGUGUGUUAGUGUAUGGAUCUCUCUGACAUUGUACCACAAGGUUCCAUAUCACAAAGGGAAUGCUGGGAUUGAUUUUGGGGGUAAUUGCCUCAAAAUUUUAAGAAUUAGGGGCUAAAAAAGGGGCAAAAAACAAGCAUUUUUCUAGUUUCAUGACAAUAAGUUGUGUGUAAGUGUAUGGAUCUUUAUGUAAUUGUACUACAAGGUUCCAUAUCACAAAGGGAAAGCUGGAAUUGAGUUUGGGGGUAAUUGCCCAAAACGUUUAGGAAUAACGUUUAAAAAUAAGCAUUUUUCUAGUUUCCAGACAAUAACUUGUGUUCAAGUGUAUGGAUCUCUCUGAAAUUGUACUGCAAGGUACCAUACUACAAAGGGAAGGCUUGGAUUGAUUUUGGGGGUAAUUGCCUCAAAAUUUUAGGAAUUUGGGGCCAAAAAGGGGCUAAAAAACAAGCAUUUUUCUAGUUUCCAGACAAUAACUUGUGUUCAAGUGUAUGGAUCUCUCUGAAAUUGUACUGCAAGGUACCAUACCACAAAGGGAAGGCUGGGAUUGAGUUUGGGGGUGAUGAAUCAUAAGGGGGUUCAAAAAAUGGGGGGGGGGAUUUUAUUUCCUUUUUUUCAUUUUUUUUUUCUUUAAAAUUUUCCAUUUUAAAUUGGUUAUUUCUGAUUUAAAUAUAAAAGCAAAUAAUAAUGAUAUGGUUUGAAUAGGUAAAUUAAAAUUUUUAAGUUCUUAGACCACAUUCAUUCUGUGUCAGAAACCUAUGCUGUGUCGAAUAUUUAAUCACAAUCCAAAUUCAGAGCUGUAUCAAGCUUGAAUGUUGUGUCCAUACUUGCCCCAACUGUUCAGAGUUUGACCUCUGCAGUCGUAUAAAGCUGCGCCCAGCGGAGCAUUUUAUUAAAAUUGGAGUUAUCUUCCUUUGUCCAUGAUUAUAGUUGAAUCAACUACAAUCAAUGCUUUAUACAAUGCAAUGUUUAAUUUUGACUUCCACUAAUAAAACACAGAUCAAGUUGAAUUUGGGUAGUGUCACUUUAACCAUUAUUGAGUUAUGCCCUUUAUAAAUCGAAAGAUUGCAAAAUUUUUAGUUUCCAUUCUGUAACUUAAGUUUGCCCCAACCAAACAUUAUGAAACCUAUACACAAUAUUCAUUAUCACAAGACUAAGAUCAAGUACAAAUUUUUUGUUUCCGUUUUCUAACUUUAGUUUGCCUCAACCAAAUGUUAUGAAACUUAUACACAAUGCUUAUUACUACAUGAUACAGAUUAAGUACAAAAUUUGGUGGCGACACUUUUACCAUUCUUGAGUUAUGUCCCUUUAUAAACAUAAAAAUUGCUGAAUUUUUCAUUUCCGUUUUCUAACUUUAGUUUGUCUCAACCAAAUGUUAUAAAACUUAUACACAACCGUUCUAGAGUUAUGUGUGUUUACAAAUAGAAAAAUUGCUGAAUUUUUAGUUUCUGUUCUCUACUUAAGUUAGCCUCAACCAAGUGUUAUGCGACUUACACACAAUGCUUAUUACCACAAAAUUUUUGGGUAGCAUCACUUUUACCGUUCUUCAGUUAUGUCCCUUUAUAACUAUAUGAUAUGCAAGCGGGGGCAUCAUCUGUGUCCACAUGUGGACACUAUCCACCUUUAUCUUUUCAUUAUGUUAACUCAGAUAUCUAUAUCACAUUGCAACCUUACUUGGAUUUAUGUUCACAUAUAAUGAAAGGAAAAUCCUUAUUGAUUUUGAUGUCAAUAAGUAAAAGGUCAAGGUCAAAGUUACUAUAAAUUGAAAAUAAAUUGUGCAGAGAAGUGGUAUCCAGUUGCUAAAUCAAAUACUUCAUAUGGUAUUGCAACAUAACUUGGAUUCGUGGUCACUUAUAAUGAGAGGAAGACUGCUAUUGAUUUUGAAGCAAAGGUCAAGGUCAUUGUUACUUAAAAUGACUUUUGACCAAUGGCUGUUAUUGUUAUAGUACUAAUUAUGUAAAUGGUUAAUUGCACCAUUUUUUUUUUUAAAUCUUUGAAUGCGACUAGAGCAUAUGGAACUGUUUAUAGAUAUCAAAAACUUUUUUUUUAAUACUUUUCUAGAUAUGCAACAGAUAGUUCUGAUACAAUUUAACCUGUGUGUAUAAUGAUGUCGCUAGGCACACAUUAUAAUGAAAGUUUUUUAAUUUCUAGAUAUGGUUAUGUGUGUAUCUUUAUCAAAUUAUGUUGGCAUAUUUUCUUUAUAAAUUUCAUACAAUGUGAUUUCCUCUGUGAUGUCUCUGUAAAGUUUCUUUUUUUUUGCUGCUAUUUUAUGUAUAACAUACAUUAUAAUAUAUAAUCGUUAAUGCUUACCAACUUCAUAAAACUGGUUUAAUUUGAGAAGCAUCAUUUGCCAGCUUUAUAGAUAUAAUGUAAACUAUUUGUGCACUUUUUACAAUGUAUUGUAAAUUUAUUGAUCAAUAUAUUCAAAUGAAAACAAAAUUGGUUUGAAAUUAAAUUGAUAAAUUGAAAGAACAUGAACCAAAAUUUGAUAA